RNAcentral lists this long non-coding RNA (595 nucleotides) under Nicotiana tabacum (common tobacco). RNAcentral's name for it is "long non-coding RNA (NTAB_LNC005933)". Lineage: Eukaryota; Viridiplantae; Streptophyta; Magnoliopsida; Solanales; Solanaceae. The record is from RNAcentral.
ACCUCAAUUCUCCAGGCGGGAUCCUGACUUCAACAAUAUAACAACCUCCGUUCUGCAGGCAGGAUUCUGACUUUAGCAACAACUUAAAUGUAACACCUCCAUUCUCCAGGCGGGCUCCUGACUUCAACAACUUUUAAAAUUAUAACAACCUCCGUUCUCCAGGCGGGCUCCUGACUUCAAUAACUUCUUAAAUUUUAUCACCUCCAUUCUCCAGGCGGGCUCCUGACUUCUUCAACCUCUUCAAAAUUUUAUCACCUCCAUUCUCCAGGCGGGCUCCUGACUUCAACAACUCCUUAAAAAUAACACCUCCAUUCUCCAGGCGGGCUCCUGACUUUUCAACUAAAAAAAAAUAUAACAACCUCUGUUCUCCAGGCGGGCUCCUGACUUCUUCAACUUUCUCAAAAAUUUCAUAACCUCCAUUCUCCAGGCGGGCUCCUGACUUCUUCAACUUAAAAUUUAACAACCUCCGUUCUACAGGCGGGCUCUUAACUUCUUCAACUUAAAAUAUAUCAACCUCCGUUCUCCAGGCGGGCUCCUGACUUCAACAACUUCUUAAAUUCUAUCACCUCUAUUCUCCAGGCGGGCUCCUGACUUC